CUACGGGCGGCAGCAGUGGGGAAUAUUGCACAAUGGGGGAAACCCUGAUGCAGCCAUGCCGCGUGUGUGAAGAAGGCCUUCGGGUUGUAAAGCACUUUCAGCGAGGAGGAAAGGUUGGUAGCUAAUAACUGCCAGCUGUGACGUUACUCGCAGAAGAAGCACCGGCUAACUCCGUGCCAGCAGCCGCGGUAAUACGGAGGGUGCAAGCGUUAAUCGGAAUUACUGGGCGUAAAGCGCACGCAGGCGGUUGGAUAAGUUAGAUGUGAAAGCCCCGGGCUCAACCUGGGAAUUGCAUUUAAAACUGUCCAGCUAGAGUCUUGUAGAGGGGGGUAGAAUUCCAGGUGUAGCGGUGAGAUGCGUAGAGAUCUGGAGGAAUACCGGUGGCGAAGGCGGCCCCCUGGACAAAGACUGACGCUCAGGUGCGAAAGCGUGGGGAGCAAACAGGAUUAGAUACCCGCGUAGUC
RNAcentral lists this ribosomal RNA (464 nucleotides) under uncultured bacterium. Its description in RNAcentral is "partial 16S ribosomal RNA". It matches the Rfam family "Bacterial small subunit ribosomal RNA", at positions 339 to 795 of the family's 1533-position model. The record is from RNAcentral.